Molecule: unclassified non-coding RNA, 517 nt
Filed under: uncultured Glomus
Lineage: Eukaryota; Fungi; Glomeromycota; Glomeromycetes; Glomerales; Glomeraceae
Description: SSU rRNA
Rfam family: Eukaryotic small subunit ribosomal RNA
Source: RNAcentral
AGCAGCCGCGGUAAUUCCAGCUCCAAUAGCGUAUAUUAAAGUUGUUAGCAGUUAAAAGCUCGUAGUUGAAUUUCGGGGUUAGUAGGUUGGUCAUGCCUCUGGUAUGUACUGGUCUCACUGAUUCCUCCUUCCUGAUGAGCCGUAAUGCCAUUAAUUUGGUGUUGCGGGGAAUUUGGACUGUUACUUUGAAAAAUUAGAGUGUUUAAAGCAAGCUAACGCUUGAAUACAUUAGCAUGGAAUAAUGAAAUAGGACGUUCGAUCCUAUUUUGUUGGUUUCUGGGAUUGACGUAAUGAUUAAUAGGGAUAGUUGGGGGCAUUAGUAUUCAAUUGUCAGAGGUGAAAUUCUUGGAUUUAUUGAAGACUAACUACUGCGAAAGCAUUUGCCAAGGAUGUUUUCAUUAAUCAAGAACGAAAGUUAGGGAUCGAAGACGAUCAGAUACCGUCGUAGUCUUAACCAUAAACUAUGCCGACUAGGGAUCGGAUGAUGUUAAUUUUUAAUGUACUCAUUCGGCUACCG